RNAcentral lists this ribosomal RNA (714 nucleotides) under uncultured marine microorganism. RNAcentral describes it as "bacterial SSU rRNA". It matches the Rfam family "Bacterial small subunit ribosomal RNA", at positions 8 to 719 of the family's 1533-position model. The record is from RNAcentral.
AGAGUUUGAUCAUGGCUCAGAUUGAACGCUGGCGGCAGGCCUAACACAUGCAAGUCGAACGGUAACAUUUCUAGCUUGCUAGAAGAUGACGAGUGGCGGACGGGUGAGUAAUGCUUGGGAACUUGCCUUUGCGAGGGGGAUAACAGUUGGAAACGACUGCUAAUACCGCAUAAUGUCUACGGACCAAACGGGGCUUAGGCUCCGGCGCAAAGAGAGGCCCAAGUGAGAUUAGCUAGUUGGUAAGGUAAUGGCUUACCAAGGCAACGAUCUCUAGCUGUUCUGAGAGGAAGAUCAGCCACACUGGAACUGAGACACGGUCCAGACUCCUACGGGAGGCAGCAGUGGGGAAUAUUGCACAAUGGGGGAAACCCUGAUGCAGCCAUGCCGCGUGUGUGAAGAAGGCCUUCGGGUUGUAAAGCACUUUCAGUUGUGAGGAAAAGUUAGUAGUUAAUACCUGCUAGCCGUGACGUUAACAACAGAAGAAGCACCGGCUAACUCCGUGCCAGCAGCCGCGGUAAUACGGAGGGUGCGAGCGUUAAUCGGAAUUACUGGGCGUAAAGCGCACGCAGGCGGUUUGUUAAGCUAGAUGUGAAAGCCCCGGGCUCAACCUGGGAUGGUCAUUUAGAACUGGCAGACUAGAGUCUUGGAGAGGGGAGUGGAAUUCCAGGUGUAGCGGUGAAAUGCGUAGAUAUCUGGAGGAACAUCAGUGGCGAA